Molecule: ribosomal RNA, 486 nt
Filed under: uncultured bacterium
Lineage: Bacteria
Description: bacterial SSU rRNA
Rfam family: Bacterial small subunit ribosomal RNA
Source: RNAcentral
AUUGAACGCUGGCGGCAUGCCUUACACAUGCAAGUCGAACGGUAACAGGGAGCUUGCUCCGCUGACGAGUGGCGAACGGGUGAGUAAAGUAUCGGAACGUACCUUUCAGUGGGGGAUAACGCAGCGAAAGUUACGCUAAUACCGCAUAUUCUGUGAGCAGGAAAGCAGGGGAUCGCAAGACCUUGCGCUGAUUGAGCGGCCGAUAUCAGAUUAGCUAGUUGGUGAGGUAAAGGCUCACCAAGCCAACGAUCUGUAGCUGGUCUGAGAGGACGACCAGCCACACUGGAACUGAGACACGGUCCAGACUCCUACGGGAGGCAGCAGUGGGGAAUUUUGGACAAUGGACGCAAGUCUGAUCCAGCCAUUCCGCGUGCAGGAUGAAGGCCCUCGGGUUGUAAACUGCUUUUGUACGGAACGAAAAGGUUUCUAUUAAUACUAGGAGCUCAUGACGGUACCGUAAGAAUAAGCACCGGCUAACUACGUGCC